GUCUGCAGCCAUACCACCCUGAUGACACCCAGUCUCCUUCGAUCUCCAAAGCUAAACAGAGUUGGGCCUGGUUAGUACUUAGAUGGGAGAAAAAAAUAACUAUUAAAAAAGGAUCUGGUCUCUGUUAUUG
Ribosomal RNA from Otolemur garnettii (small-eared galago), 130 nucleotides. NCBI's taxonomy places the organism in Eukaryota, Metazoa, Chordata, Mammalia, Primates, Galagidae. The record is from Ensembl.